This 780-nucleotide ribosomal RNA is filed under the name uncultured Neocallimastigales. RNAcentral describes it as "partial large subunit ribosomal RNA". It matches the Rfam family "Eukaryotic large subunit ribosomal RNA", at positions 23 to 643 of the family's 3401-position model. The record is from RNAcentral. Lineage: Eukaryota; Fungi; Neocallimastigomycota; Neocallimastigomycetes; Neocallimastigales.
AGAGAUGUGUGAUGACGCAUAUCAAUAAGCGGAGGAAAAGAAACUAACAAGGAUUCCCUUAGUAACGGCGAGUGAAGCGGGAAGAGCUCAAAUUUGAAAUCUUCAAGGUUCUACCUUGACGAAUUGUAGUUUAUAGAAGUGUUUUCUGUAGUGGAGUUCGGUAAAAGUUCUUUGGAAUAGGACAUCAUAGAGGGUGAGAAUCCCGUAUUUGAUCAUUACUUUCCUAGCUUUGUGAUACACUUUCAAAGAGUCGGAUUGUUUGGGAAUGCAGUCCAAAAUGGGUGGUAAAUUUCAUCUAAAGCUAAAUAUUGGCGAGAGACCGAUAGCGAACAAGUACCGUGAUGGAAAGAUGAAAAGAACUUUGAAAAGAGAGUUAAACAGUACGUGAAAUUGUCAAAAGGGAAGCGUUUGACACCAGUGUUGUUUUUCCGAAAAUCAAUUACGAAUGUUUUGUUUUUGAGGAGUUAUGACUUCAUCGGCUUGCUUCUCUCUUUACGAAACUUUCUUAAUGCACUUUUCGGUUAACAAGUCAACAUCAAUUUCUUUUGUUGUAAAAGGGUAUGAGGAAGGUGGCUUUCUUUUCGGAGAAAGUGUUUAUAGCCCUUGUACUUCUGCAAUCGGAGAGAUUGAGGUCUGCAGCGUAGAUCCUUCGGGGUUAGAUACAUUUGUGCUAAGUUAUAGCUUUUCAUAGGACAACUUGUUGACUAUGUUAAGUCUUGUAGCUUACAUCGCUUAUGCUAUUUUACCUACGCUUAGGAUGUUGAAGAUGUAGCACAUCAU